Molecule: ribosomal RNA, 497 nt
Filed under: uncultured bacterium
Lineage: Bacteria
Description: partial 16S ribosomal RNA
Rfam family: Bacterial small subunit ribosomal RNA
Source: RNAcentral
GAUGAACGCUGGCGGCGUGCCUAAUACAUGCAAGUCGAGCGAACGGACGAGAAGCUUGCUUCUCUGAUGUUAGCGGCGGACGGGUGAGUAACACGUGGAUAACCUACCUAUAAGACUGGGAUAACUUCGGGAAACCGGAGCUAAUACCGGAUGAUAUUUUGAACCGCAUGGUUCAAAAGUGAAAGACGGUCUUGCUGUCACUUAUAGAUGGAUCCGAGCUGCAUUAGCUAGUUGGUAAGGUAACGGCUUACCAAGGCAACGAUGCAUAGCCGACCUGAGAGGGUGAUCAGCCACACUGGAACUGAGACACGGUCCAGACUCCUACGGGAGGCAGCAGUAGGGAAUCUUCCGCAAUGGGCGAAAGCCUGACGGAGCAACGCCGCGUGAGUGAUGAAGGUCUUCGGAUCGUAAAACUCUGUUAGUAGGGAAGAACAUAUGUGUAAGUAACUGUGCACAUCUUGACGGUACCUAAUCAGAAAGCCACGGCUAACUACGUG